Molecule: long non-coding RNA, 312 nt
Filed under: Mytilus galloprovincialis (Mediterranean mussel)
Lineage: Eukaryota; Metazoa; Mollusca; Bivalvia; Mytilida; Mytilidae
Source: RNAcentral
CUUCUGAUUAUUUUUUUUUUUCUUCCGCCAAAUUUUGUUCUUGCGAUAAACAUUUGUUUCGCAAUAUGUCGCUUAGAUAUUUGGUAUAUGAUAUCGAACAAGUUAUGCGCUUUUGAAAUUUACCCUGCGUAACCGAAUACUUUUCUUUGUAGGAGUUAUCUCCCCAAACACUGUUUUCCUUGUGAUCACAACUCCUUCGCAACCGUACAAGAUUACGACAAAUUUAUUUUAUAAAAUUGCUCGUUAUAUCCUUCGCAUGAUUUGUCCAAUUUCGACCGAAGCAAUAUGAACGCUCCAUAUGAGAGUUAUUUC